AACGAACGCUGGCGGCAGGCUUAACACAUGCAAGUCGAGCGCCCCGCAAGGGGAGCGGCAGACGGGUGAGUAACGCGUGGGAAUCUACCGUGCCCUACGGAAUAGCUCCGGGAAACUGGAAUUAAUACCGUAUACGCCCUACGGGGGAAAGAUUUAUCAGGGUAUGAUGAGCCCGCGUUGGAUUAGCUAGUUGGUGGGGUAAAGGCCUACCAAGGCGACGAUCCAUAGCUGGUCUGAGAGGAUGAUCAGCCACAUUGGGACUGAGACACGGCCCAAACUCUUACGGGAGGCAGCAGUGGGGAAUAUUGGACAAUGGGCGCAAGCCUGAUCCAGCCAUGCCGCGUGAGUGAUGAAGGUCUUAGGAUUGUAAAGCUCUCUCACCGGUGAAGAUAAUGACGGUAACCGGAGAAGAAGCCCCGGCUAACUUCGUGCCAGCCGCCGCCGUAA
This 447-nucleotide ribosomal RNA is filed under the name uncultured bacterium. RNAcentral's name for it is "partial 16S ribosomal RNA". It matches the Rfam family "Bacterial small subunit ribosomal RNA", at positions 29 to 523 of the family's 1533-position model. The record is from RNAcentral.